UACAGAGGGUGCAAGCGUUGUUCGGAAUUACUGGGCGUAAAGCGUGCGUAGGCGGUUUGUUAAGUCUGUCGUGAAAGCCCUGGGCUCAACCUGGGAAUUGCGAUGGAUACUGGCAAGCUAGAGUACGGUAGAGGAUGGUGGAAUUCCCGGUGUAGCGGUGAAAUGCGUAGAGAUCGGGAGGAACACCCGUGGCGAAGGCGGCUCUCUGGAACGCAACUGACGCUGAGACGCGAAAGCGUGGGGAGCAAACAGGG
This 254-nucleotide ribosomal RNA is filed under the name uncultured bacterium. RNAcentral's name for it is "partial 16S ribosomal RNA". It matches the Rfam family "Bacterial small subunit ribosomal RNA", at positions 524 to 777 of the family's 1533-position model. The record is from RNAcentral.